Molecule: ribosomal RNA, 832 nt
Filed under: Bacillus sp. (in: firmicutes)
Lineage: Bacteria; Bacillati; Bacillota; Bacilli; Caryophanales; Bacillaceae
Description: bacterial SSU rRNA
Rfam family: Bacterial small subunit ribosomal RNA
Source: RNAcentral
UACAUGCAAGUCGAGCGGACAGAAGGGAGCUUGCUCCCGGAAGUCAGCGGCGGACGGGUGAGUAACACGUAGGUAACCUGCCCCUUAGACUGGGAUAACUCCGGGAAACCGGAGCUAAUACGGGAUAAUAAAGAGAAUCACCUGAUUCUCUUUUGAAAGACGGUUUCGGCUGUCACUAAGGGAUGGGCCUGCGGCGCAUUAGCUAGUUGGUAAGGUAACGGCUUACCAAGGCGACGAUGCGUAGCCGACCUGAGAGGGUGAUCGGCCACACUGGGACUGAGACACGGCCCAGACUCCUACGGGAGGCAGCAGUAGGGAAUCUUCCGCAAUGGACGAAAGUCUGACGGAGCAACGCCGCGUGAGUGAGGAAGGCCUUCGGGUCGUAAAGCUCUGUUGUGAGGGAAGAACAAGUACCGGCGUAACUACCGGUACCUUGACGGUACCUCACCAGAAAGCCACGGCUAACUACGUGCCAGCAGCCGCGGUAAUACGUAGGUGGCAAGCGUUGUCCGGAAUUAUUGGGCGUAAAGCGCGCGCAGGCGGCUUCUUAAGUCUGAUGUGAAAUCUCGGGGCUCAACCCCGAGCGGCCAUUGGAAACUGGGAAGCUUGAGUGCAGAAGAGGAGAGUGGAAUUCCACGUGUAGCGGUGAAAUGCGUAGAUAUGUGGAGGAACACCAGUGGCGAAGGCGACUCUCUGGUCUGUAACUGACGCUGAGGCGCGAAAGCGUGGGGAGCAAACAGGAUUAGAUACCCUGGUAGUCCACGCCGUAAACGAUGAGUGCUAGGUGUUAGGGGUUUCGAUGCCCGUAGUGCCGAAGUAAACACAUUAAGCA